This is a long non-coding RNA of Chenopodium quinoa (quinoa), 3422 nucleotides long. RefSeq lists it as uncharacterized. The record is from RefSeq and is a predicted model, not a curated record. Lineage: Eukaryota; Viridiplantae; Streptophyta; Magnoliopsida; Caryophyllales; Amaranthaceae. The transcript is spliced from 6 exons.
UAGUAAUUCAAUGAUAUUUUUUCUCUAAUAUUUUUCUUACUAAUCCAUUCCUUUUUUUUUUCUAGGUCACUAACCCAUAAUUCUUAAACUAGAUCACAACAUUGCCAGAAGAAAAUGAAGAUCAAGUAGCUAAAGAUUUAAGAACUUUGGCUUAAGGGCCUUUGAGAGGUGUCCAAUGUUUCGGUGGAUAUUUGGCUAAUGGUUUCAGAUUUCAUACUCAAGACAUUGAGAAAAAAAGAAAAACUCAAAACUCUGGAGUGAUGGUUAAAGGACUUGUAGAUUCUAAGGAUGUUGAUUACUUUGGAGUUUUGAAUGAAAUAAUUUCAUUGCAAUAUUUAGAUGGAAAGCGUGUGAUAUUGUUUUGUUGUGAUUGGUGGGAUGUUCAUAAGAUUGGUAAAGGUGUUAAGAUUGACAAAGGAGGUUUGGUUAGUGUCAACACAAAGUACAUGUUGCGUACAAAUGAGCCAUUUGUGCUUAUGUCUCAAGAUCAACGGGUUUUUUUAUGUCAGAGAUGGUUUAGAUCCACAUUGGAUGGUUAUUGUUAAAACUGAUCUACGUCAUCAAUAUGAUGUCCCAGAAAAUGAAAACAAUGAGGUGGAUGAGGAGGCGUUACAACAAAGGGACUCUACAUCGUUACAUAAUGUUUACAAUUCGACUCAAGAGUUAGAGGACAUUCCUUAUACAUUUGAUAGAAGUGAUGACGUGAAUGACAUAAUAAUAGAUGAAAAUGACCAAAAUCAACCCAAGGUUUUUGUCAAUGACGGUGAAGAUGAUGAUUUUGAUCAGGCUAGUUACACCGAUAGCGAUGAGGAAAGCGAAGAUGAUGCUGAAAAUAUAGAUGAGGAUGAGGAUGAGGAUGAGGAUAUAGCUUAAUUUUUAUUUUUAUAACUUAGUAUUAUAAUUUUUCUUAGCUAUUAUUUGUAAUAUGUUUUCACCAACUAUUUUAUGCAUUCUGAGUUUCUGAUACUUUUUUAUUCUUGUUUUGGAAAUUUUGCACUCUAUCGUAUUGUAUUGUGUUUUUUUUUUUUUUAUUUAUAUACUUUGUUAUACGGUAAUAUUUAUGUUAUUGUCAGUGAAUCUAUUUAUAGAUAACAUUUUUUGAGAGCAGGUAUUAUGAUGGAAAAAGUUAGUAGGAAUACUUCAAAAAAAAACAAAUCAAGAAAAUGAAUAUGAACAGCAGAGGCUAUUAAGGAUUCAGGCUAACAAGUGUAGAAUGCAAUCCUUGGGUAUAAAGAGAAUUGUUUCUUCCAUGACAAGUUUAGUAGACAUAAAAAAAAAAAAAGAAAAAACCAAGGAAGGGUAAGUCUGUGAACAAGGAAGAUCAAGAUUAUAUUCCUUGCUCUAGCAAUGAAGAAGAAAACAUGAAUAUAGAAGAGGAUGAAUAUGAAAAAGAGGAUCACUUUGCAAUACCAGUAAAGGUACUAUAUUAGUUACUAAUAGUUACCAAUUUUAUACUAACAUAGUCAAUAGUUUAUUAUCUUCUUUAACUCAUGUUUCAAGGUAAGCAUUGCAUAACAAAAGGAAUGUCAAGAAAAGGGAAAUUUAUUCCACCAAUGUCUGUGGCUAAGUUGAAUAUGAAUAAAAAAGAACAAUAAGCAAUGGUAGGAGAUGAAAAAUUCAAAUCACUUUCAAAAGCCAUGAAAGUUGUUGAACAAGGUACUAGAUUAUAUGAAUUGCUUGAAUAAUCUUAUGGCUUAGUAUUUAAUUUAUAUCAAAGUUGGUAUGUUAUUCAAUGCAGUCAUCAGUAAUCAGGACCGAUUGAAUGUGAAUCAUGAAAUCAUUGGUUUAGAUGAAGGUAGAAGCCUUUUUUUCACAUUAUGGUAAUUGAGAAAAACAAACUUAAUUCUUUAUUUAUUUAAUUUUUUUAUGAUUACAAACUAGAUAUACAAGGGAUUGAGAGAAAUGCAGAUGAGUUGAAUGGCAAUAAUGAAGUUGAAAUGAGUGAAGGUAUGGAAGUGUGUUUUUUUUAUUAUUAAUAACUACUUUUGGUAUUAAGUAGUGCUGAUUUUUUUUAGUGUGAAACAAUUUUUUAUCAGAUGGGAAUUUUGUUGAUGAUGAGGAUAAUAAUUCAUUUGAUGAUGAAGCUGUACACCAAGAUUAUGAAAAUGAAGCGGAUAUGGUCAUAUACAAUGAUAAAAUUCGUCGAGUAAGAAAGGAUCGUCGUACCAGAGAACCUGUAUUGUUUCCUCGGGAAAGGUGUGAGGAAUUAGUUGGAGAUAAAAGACGUGCUGAGAUGGAAGGUGUUUUUAAGAGAAAACGAGGGCCUGUUUAUUGUAAAAGUCUUACCUUGUUACCUCCUGGAGAAAAAAAUAUAUGUUCAGUUUGAUGGGGAUGGUGUUCCUAUUGGUGAUAAUGCCUCGAUAUAUACUUCGUUCUUUGGUGUACAAGUUAGAAAUCGUGCUGUCAUUCCUGUACAGGUGAAAGAUUCGACUGAUAUUAAGCCUGAAAAAAUUGAACAUCUUUGGAGUUGUAUUCAGGAAAAAUGCUCGUUUGGUGACCCUGAGUUGAGAAAAGACAGUGUUAUUCAACAUGCUAGAAGAUUAUUCAGAGAUAGCAGGCACAAGUUGAAGAAAAAAUAUUUUAAUGAUCAAAAUUUGAAAACAAAAAUUGAUCGCUUGAAGAACAAGCCUGAGAAAAUGAUUAAAGCGGAUUGGGAAUUUUUAGUUGAGCAUUGGAGUGAUGAAAAGGUUCAGGUAUGGAAUGUUACUCUCAUAUAUGGAUUAUGAUUUGGUAUAUGAUGUAUCUAAAUUAUUUUACCAAAGGCUAAGAGUGUCAAAGCUUCCGAAAGUCGAUCUCAUCAAAAGAUGCCUCAUUAUAAUGGGAUUAAAAAGUUAUGGUCGCUUCAAAGAUGAAUUUAAAAAGAAACAUGGGAAGGAUUGCUCACGAGUUGACCUUCUAAUUGAGUCUCAUAAGAGGAAGUCAAAUAAAUCUGUUAAUUUGGGUACCUUGGCUAAUAACAUGAAUGUAGUGUCUGAGAUGAAAAAGUUAACAGAAGAAAGAGACCAAGGGCAUAAUAACCACACUGAUGAAUAAAUUAUUGAGAAAGUACUUGGUAAAGAUACUCAUGGAUAUUUGCGUGCAUAUGAGCGAGGUAGAAGUAUUACAAAUCAUUUUGGUGUUAAGCCAUCAAAAAUAAAUCUUGCUCACGAGGUAAUUGAGGUAAGAAAAACAUCUGAGCAAGCAGUCCAAGAAGCUCGAAAGGAAGCUGAAGAUGCUAGAAAAGAAGUAGAAAAGGCAAGAAUGGAUGCGGAGGUUGCCAAAAAGGAAGUCGAAGCAACAAGGAAUGAGGUGGAUCAAAAACUUUCUGCUAAUAACAAAUUAUGGGAGAAAUAUCAUAAUAUUUAUUAAAUGAUUAACAUGAUUAUAAAAACUAGAAUAGACCCGGUCCAACCUUCUAAUAUACCAUACGAAUGUGAUUAUAU